UACGUAGGGGGCUAGCGUUGUUCGGAAUCACUGGGCGUAAAGCGCACGUAGGCGGAUCGUUAAGUCAGGGGUGAAAUCCUGGAGCUCAACUCCAGAACUGCCUUCGAUACUGGCGACCUUGAGUCCGGGAGAGGUGAGUGGAACUGCGAGUGUAGCGGUGAAAUGCGUAGAUAUCUGGAGGAAUACCGGUGGCGAAGGCGGCGUUCUGGACCAUUACUGACACUGAAUCGCGAAAGCUAGGGGAGCAAACGGG
Molecule: ribosomal RNA, 253 nt
Filed under: uncultured bacterium
Lineage: Bacteria
Description: partial 16S ribosomal RNA
Rfam family: Bacterial small subunit ribosomal RNA
Source: RNAcentral